AGACACUAAAGAAUAGUUUUGUACCAUCAGAUAAAUAAGAAGGCCUGCUUUCAAAGCAGGCCUUCUUAUUUA
This 72-nucleotide small RNA is filed under the name Dehalococcoides mccartyi GY50. RNAcentral's name for it is "Enterobacterial sRNA STnc370". Lineage: Bacteria; Bacillati; Chloroflexota; Dehalococcoidia; Dehalococcoidales; Dehalococcoidaceae. The record is from RNAcentral.